RNAcentral lists this ribosomal RNA (484 nucleotides) under uncultured bacterium. RNAcentral's name for it is "partial 16S ribosomal RNA". It matches the Rfam family "Bacterial small subunit ribosomal RNA", at positions 28 to 507 of the family's 1533-position model. The record is from RNAcentral.
GUUGAACGCUGGCGGCAUGCCUAACACAUGCAAGUCGAGCGGACGUAGGAGGCUUUCUCUUGGCUUCCGCGGCGGGCGGGUGGGUGAUGCCUACGUGUCUUCCUGGUAUUGGGGGAUGACUUCCGGACUCGGGCGCUAAUACCGCACACGUCCUGAGGUAGAAACUGGGGGAUCUUCGGACCUCACGCUAUCUGAUGUGCCUAGUUCGGAUUAUCUCGUUGGUGGGGUAAAGGCCUACCAAGGCGACGAUCCGUAACUGGUCUGAGAGGCUGACCAGUCACACUGGAACUGAGACACGGUCCAGACUCCUACGGGAGGCAGCAGUGGGGAAUAUUGGACAAUGGGCGAAAGCCGGAUCCAGCCAUGCCGCGUGUGUGAAGAAGGUCUUCGGAUUGUAAAGCACUUUAAGUUGGGAGGAAGGGCAGUAAGUUAAUACCUGGCUGUUUUGACGUUACCAACAGAAUAAGCACCGGCUAACUUCGUG